AGCCCCGUCGUCUAGCAAAACCUGGAUAACGGUCAAGGAUAGUGGACUUUGGAUCCAUUGACGGCAGUUCGAAUCUGCCCGGGGCUA
Molecule: transfer RNA, 87 nt
Filed under: Microcaldota archaeon
Lineage: Archaea; Nanobdellati; Microcaldota
Description: tRNA-Gln
Rfam family: tRNA
About the family: Transfer RNA (tRNA) molecules are approximately 80 nucleotides in length.
Source: RNAcentral